RNA transcript from Zalophus californianus (California sea lion), 970 nucleotides. It is a transcript of the gene named tRNA-uridine aminocarboxypropyltransferase 1-like, with no coding region annotated. NCBI's taxonomy places the organism in Eukaryota, Metazoa, Chordata, Mammalia, Carnivora, Otariidae. The record is from RefSeq and is a predicted model, not a curated record. The transcript has a single exon.
GCAGUGCAGUGCACCUAUGAUUUACAUUUUAGAAAUAGAUGUUAAACUUUGGUUUGAAUGAAAAAUGUCUCUCAACCCACCUGUAUUUCUCAAAGAAAAGGAAGAAAAUAAUUCAAAAUCUGUAGAAAUACAACACUCACAAACUACUUCCAUAGCUGCAGAAGAUCCUCUUCAAAACUUAUGCUUAGCAUCUCAAGAAGUUCUUCAAAAAGCUCAGCGAAGUGGAAGAUCAAAAUGUCUCAGAUGUGGUGGCUCAAGAAUGUUCUAUUGCUAUACAUGUUAUGUCCCAGUUGAAAAUGUACCUAUUCAACAGAUGCCACUUGUGAAGCUUCCACUGAAGAUUGAUAUCAUUAAACAUCCAAAUGAAACAGAUGGCAAAAGUACUGCUAUACAUGCAAAACUAUUAGCACCUGAAUUUGUAAAUAUUUACAAGUAUCCUUGUAUUCCAGAAUAUGAAGAAAAGGACCAUGAAGUUGCACUUGUUUUUCCUGGACCUAAGUCUGUCUCAGUAAAAGAUAUUUCUUUUCAUCUGCAAAAAAGGAUUCAAACUAAUGUUAAAGGCAAAAAUGAUGACCCUGACAAGCCAUUUAUUUAAUGCAAGAAAACUGAAGAACAGGAUUUGAAUGACAGCAACUGCCAAGACACAACACUGAAAAAAAUUAUAUUUAUAGAUAGCACCUGGAACCAACAAAACAAAAUAUUCACUGAUGAGAGACUUCAAGGAUUGUUACAAGUUGAGUUGAAAACAAGAAAAACUUGCUUUGGGCGCCAUCAAAAAGGAAAGCCAGAUAACUUCCUUUCCACAAUUGAAGCCAUUUACUAUUUUCUGGUAGGCUACCAUACUGAUAUAUUAAAAGAAAAAUACUAAGGACAAUAUGACAAUCUCUUAUUUUUCUACUCUUUUAUGUACCAGUUGAUAAAGAAUGCCAAAUGCUCUGGAGACAAGGAAACAAGAAAACGUAUCCAUUAG